CCCUCUCUCUCUCUGCCUCCUCCACUAAUGCUCUUCUUUUACUCUGUAUUGUCAUUCAUUCCAUCAGUCAGGAAGAAGAACCCGUUUGAAUACAACAGGCCUGCCUCCCAAAUGGCACCCUAUUCCCUAUAUAGUGCACUACUUUAGACCAGGGCCCGUAGGGACUAAUAUAGGGAAUAGGGCACCAUUGAGAUACAUGGCAGAAUGGGAUCCUGUGAGAUUGAUAGUGACAUGAAGACAGAAUGCAGGGCAGGACAGAGAAAGGCUUAUUUGCACUUGAAAACAAAAACACUACAGAUUAUUACCAAAACCCUGCCGCCUUCACUGUAGUCUUUAAAGUCCUUCAAUGGCUCUCUCUCUUUCUCUCUGUUCAGAGAGUGGUGUGUGUAACUCCUGGUCUCCACAUUGUGUGUGUGUGCGUGCGAUGUUAAUGAGCUUAAUCUAAUCUGUCUGCUCCACUAUUCCCAGAUUACUGUAAUAUGACCCGUUUGGUGCCGUGUGAUAUGGGAACUACACUAUAUCCCAUAAUGAGGGUUAGCUAACACUGGUGUCGCCAUGGAGAUGUCUCAUUCAGGGAAGUGAGGAGAGGAGGUACCCCAGGGGUUAAAUUGAAGAGGACAGGAUUAGAAUUCGUGUAGAACAGACCAGUAGCUGUAAAACCCACAGGAUUAUCUUUGAAUUGGGAUAGAGGUUCUCUAUUCAUUGUAAUGCUAUGGUACGGAGUCUGGGAGCCCGUUUAAAAGGACCCCUCUUAUAGGACCAUAUUUAGCCUAUUGUGAUGUCAUCAAUUAGGCUUGCGUCAUGUCACUAUGACGUCAUCAGUUAGAAUGUUCAAAGGACUGCGUCAUCACCACAUUGUGAUGUCAUCAGUUAGAGGGUGUGUUCCUCUGUUCAGACGUUGCUGACGCCAGAUCUUACAUCGCCUGGAUAGGUAUUUUACAGAUCAGCUAAACACAUCACAUGCUAAAGCAAUCUGGUGCAACCAGUGGUUGAUGCAUGUGACAUCUGAGCAGAGAGACGCAACCAGAAUGUUUUAACAAAGGAUCACUUCAUCUGGUUGUGAUGUCAUCAGUUGGAAUGUUCUACAAAGGGCUACAUCCAAUUAUGAUGUCAGAAUCCCAGAAUAAAGCACAAUGAGUAAACUGUCACUAUACCCUGAAUCAGAACCUGAAGCAGAUACAGUAUGUGACUUAACCCGUGUCCAAGCUGGCCUGAUGUCGGCCCCAAAUCCUACAGGGAUCCUCUAAGAAUGAGAAGAAGAGGCUUCAGUGCACUUCCUGUUCCUCGUUCCGAAUGUCAUGGGCAGGAAAUGUGCGCUUUACUUACUGGCUUCCAGACAGGCAGAGAGAGGGACAGAUGGGCAGAGAGAAGGGCAGACAGACAAGCAGAGAGAGUGACAGACUGGCAGAGAGAGGGGCAGAGCUUGUCAGAGGGGACACUGUUUAGUCAGUGUGGUUUGGUCGUGGUGGGCCGGCGACCACAGCUGCCUAUAGUGUUGAGGUCAGCCCCUUUUCUCAGAUUUUGGGUAGAGAAAGGAGGUCUCCUCCUGUACCCCUCUAUAGACCCAGACACCCUGAGGUCUCCUCCUCUACCCCUCUAUAGACCCAGACACCCUGAGGUCUCCUCCUGUACCCCUCUAUAGACCCAGACACCCUGAGGUCUCCUCCUCUACCCCUCUAUAGACCCAGACACCCUGAGGUCUCCUCCUGUACCCCUCUAUAGACCCAGACACCCUGAGGUCUCCUCCUCUACCCCUCUAUAGACCCAGACACCCUGAGGUCUCUCUCCUCUCUCUCUCUCUCUACACUACAACAGUAAUUUAGUAGCCUACUGUAGUGGGAUCUGUCUCUGUAUCCACAGCAUCUGAGUUGGAGUGCUGAUCCAGGAUUAGGUUCCAACCUGUCCAUAUAAUUUGAUUCAUUAUGAGCUAAAAGGCAAAACUGAUCCUACAUUAUGAAUCACUCCAUACUAGAUCUACUCUGAGAAGCUUUGAGGAUACAGGCCGAGUCCCCCAGUCCUGGUGGCUAAACUGAUCCCAGAUCAGUACUGCUGCUCUGAGAAGCUUUGUGGAAACAGGCCCAGUCCCCCAGUCCUAGUGGCUAAACUGAUCCUGGAUCAGCACUGCUGCUCUGAGAAGCUUUGUGGAUACAGGCCCAGUCCCCCAGUCCUGGUGGCUAAACUGAUCCCAGAUCAGCACUGCUGCUCUGAGAAGCUUUGAGGAUACAGGCCCAGUCCCCCAGUCCUGGUGGCUAAACUGAUCCUAGAUCAGCACUGCUGCUCUGAGAAGCUUUGAGGAUACAGGCCCAGUCCCCCAGUCCUGGUGGUUAAACUGAUCCUAGAUCAGCACUGCUGCUCUGAGAAGCUUUGUGGAUACCCAGGCCCCCAGUCCUGGUGGCUAAACUGAUCCUAGAUCAGCACUGCUGCUCUGAGAAGCUUUGAGGAAACAGGCCCAGUCCCCCAGUCCUGGUGGCUAAACUGAUCCUAGAUCAGCACUGCUGCUCUGAGAAGCUUUGAGGAUACAGGCCCAGUCCCCCAGUCCUGGUGGCUAAACUGAUCCUAGAUCAGCACUGCUGCUCUGAGAAGCUUUGUGGAUACAGGCCCAGUCCCCCAGUCCUGGUGGCUAAACUGAUCCCAGAUCAGCACUGCUGCUCUGAGAAGCUUUGAGAAGCUUUGAGGAUACAGGCCCAGUCCCCCAGUCCUGGUGGCUAAACUGAUCCCAGAUCAGCACUGCUGCUCUGAGAAGCUUUGAGGAUACAGGCCCAGUCCCCCAGUCCUGGUGGCUAAACUGAUCCCAGAUCAGCACUGCUGCUCUGAGAAGCUUUG
Molecule: long non-coding RNA, 2823 nt
Organism: Oncorhynchus tshawytscha (Chinook salmon)
Lineage: Eukaryota; Metazoa; Chordata; Actinopteri; Salmoniformes; Salmonidae
Source: Ensembl